UCCCGCGUGGCUCAGUUAGUAGAGCAUGGCGCUUGCAACACCGGGGUUUGGGUUUUGAUUCCCACGGGGGAC
This 72-nucleotide transfer RNA is filed under the name Salmo salar (Atlantic salmon). It matches the Rfam family "tRNA". Rfam says of the family: Transfer RNA (tRNA) molecules are approximately 80 nucleotides in length. Lineage: Eukaryota; Metazoa; Chordata; Actinopteri; Salmoniformes; Salmonidae. The record is from Rfam by way of RNAcentral.